AUUGAACGCUGGCGGCAUGCCUUACACAUGCAAGUCGAACGGUAACAGGUCUUCGGAUGCUGACGAGUGGCGAACGGGUGAGUAAUACAUCGGAACGUGCCUAGUAGUGGGGGAUAACUACUCGAAAGAGUGGCUAAUACCGCAUGAGAUCUACGGAUGAAAGCAGGGGAUCGCAAGACCUUGUGCUACUAGCGCGGCCGAUGGCAGAUUAGGGAGUUGGUGGGAUAAAAGCUUACCAAGCCGACGAUCUGUAGCUGGUCUGAGAGGACGAUCAGCAACACUGGGACUGGGACACGGCCCAGACUCCUACGGGAGGCAGCAGUGGGGAAUUUUGGACAAUGGGCGAAAGCCUGAUCCAGCAAUGCCGCGUGCAGGAUGAAGGCCUUCGGGUUGUAAACUGCUUUUGUACGGAACGAAAAGCCCUGGGUUAAUACCCUGGGGUCAUGACGGUACCGUAAGAAUAAGCACCGGCUAACUACGUGCCAGCCGCCGCGGUAA
This 498-nucleotide ribosomal RNA is filed under the name uncultured bacterium. Its description in RNAcentral is "partial 16S ribosomal RNA". It matches the Rfam family "Bacterial small subunit ribosomal RNA", at positions 30 to 523 of the family's 1533-position model. The record is from RNAcentral.